Molecule: long non-coding RNA, 625 nt
Organism: Saimiri boliviensis boliviensis (Bolivian squirrel monkey)
Lineage: Eukaryota; Metazoa; Chordata; Mammalia; Primates; Cebidae
Source: RefSeq, a predicted model, not a curated record
GUGUUCUACGUUUUCUCAUCUGUGAUGACAUGUAGCUGUCAGUAGGAUGAUACCCAGGAGAAAGUUUCACAGAAACAAACAUGUAAUCUGCUUCUUCAAAACAAAGGAAGUGGAGCCAGAAUCCACAGAUGUCAUUAUCCAUCUGCAGCCUUCAUUUACUACCCAGAAGGCAAGAAUAUUGCAUUUUAGAAUUGUCCAGACUUUUGUUCUUUCUUAUCACAAGACUUGGGAAGCUCCGACCAUUCGUGUUUACCCUGAGUGAAAGUCCCAGUCAAAGCCUUGCUUCCUGGAGGGCUUUGAGAUUCUGGUACAAAAGGCAUUUUAUCAGCACAAAGUAGAAAAGCAUCAUUCAUAUUCAUUUGCUGCUGUGGCAUUUGUCCCUGGAAUCUUCCUCUUGUCUGUCAACGUUGGGCCAAAGAACUGGCCUCAUCUGCAUUACAAAUAUUCUUUUAAUGGUCUGGAGGUAGGAAAGGGACACGCAGCACAAGAGUGAGAAGGGAAACUCAAGCUCUCCUAUUGGAGAGUCUCAGGCUUCUUUAUCCAUAAAACUGGUUGGACAUAAUUCGUGUGGGUUUAUGAUUUGUUCUGGAAAAACCUGAGUGUGAAAUCAAUACAGUGCUUUGUG